This 407-nucleotide ribosomal RNA is filed under the name Actinomyces israelii. RNAcentral describes it as "bacterial SSU rRNA". It matches the Rfam family "Bacterial small subunit ribosomal RNA", at positions 28 to 418 of the family's 1533-position model. The record is from RNAcentral. Lineage: Bacteria; Bacillati; Actinomycetota; Actinomycetes; Actinomycetales; Actinomycetaceae.
GACGAACGCUGGCGGCGUGCUUAACACAUGCAAGUCGAACGGGUCUGCCUUGUUUUUUGCGGGGUGGGUCAGUGGCGAACGGGUGAGUAACACGUGAGUAACCUGCCCCUCACUUCUGGAUAACCGCUUGAAAGGGUGGCUAAUACGGGGUGUUCUGGCUGUGCCGCAUGGUGUGGCUGGGAAAGAUUCACUUUUGUGGUGUUUUGGUGGGGGAUGGGCUCGCGGCCUAUCAGCUUGUUGGUGGGGUGAUGGCCUGCCAAGGCUUUGACGGGUAGCCGGCCUGAGAGGGUGGGCGGUCACACUGGGACUGAGAUACGGCCCAGACUCCUGCGGGAGGCAGCAGUGGGGGGUAUUGCACAAUGGGCGGAAGCCUGGUGCAGCGACGUCGCGUGAGGGAUGGAGGCCUU